Molecule: non-coding RNA, 83 nt
Filed under: Anaerobacillus isosaccharinicus
Lineage: Bacteria; Bacillati; Bacillota; Bacilli; Caryophanales; Bacillaceae
Also listed under: 1 other name
Description: Anaerobacillus sp. NB2006 c-di-GMP-I riboswitch aptamer
Rfam family: c-di-GMP-I riboswitch aptamer
About the family: GEMM was predicted in a large-scale screen for bacterial structured RNA regulatory elements.
Source: Rfam by way of RNAcentral
ACAAGUUAAAGGCAAAACCAUUGAAAGGUGGUGACGCAAAGCUAGAGGGACUAAGGGAUUUCCUAUGUCAGCCAGUUGCCAAA